CUUGAUUGCCCCCUACAGGUGUUGGCUGUGUGUUGGUAUGGCUUGCUCUGCGUGUUUGCUCUGGAGAAGGACACAUCUUCAUUCUUUUGGUAUGGGUUGUUCGCUCGACACAGAGAGAGAAAAAGAGAGAAAGAAACAGUAUUUCAAAUUUUGAUCGCAAGUCGCUGGGAUAGGAAGAAGAAGAAGAGACGUCCAAGAUUUUGGUCGACUUUCGGAGCAAAGUUUGGGUUUGUUUCGGAAAAGGUUGCUGCUAGAAUUUUGAUCGAGUUUGGGAGGAAGCUGUCAAUAGAUUCUCUUCUGUUUUUCUACAGCCGUGUUCUUCGGGAAGCAUCUGUUUACACCAACCUCCACUGGUACAC
Molecule: long non-coding RNA, 359 nt
Organism: Rosa chinensis
Lineage: Eukaryota; Viridiplantae; Streptophyta; Magnoliopsida; Rosales; Rosaceae
Exons: 3
Source: RefSeq, a predicted model, not a curated record